GGUUAAGCGACUAAGCGUACACGGUGGAUGCCCUGGCAGUCAGAGGCGAUGAAGGACGUGCUAAUCUGCGAAAAGCGCCGGCGAGGUGAUAUGAACCUUUGACCCGGCGAUGUCCGAAUGGGGAAACCCAGUGCAAUCCGUUGCACUAUCGUUAACUGAAUACAUAGGUUAACGAGGCGAACCGGGGGAACUGAAACAUCUAAGUACCCCGAGGAAAAGAAAUCAACCGAGAUUCCCCCAGUAGCGGCGAGCGAACGGGGAGCAGCCCGGAGUCUGAAUCAGCUUGUGUGUUAGUGGAACGGUCUGGAAAGUCCGACGGUACAGGGUGAUAGUCCCGUACACGAAAGCACACAUGCUGUGAACUCGAAGAGUAGGGCGGGACACGUGGUAUCCUGUCUGAAUAUGGGGGGACCAUCCUCCAAGGCUAAAUACUCCUGACUGACCGAUAGUGAACCAGUACCGUGAGGGAAAGGCGAAAAGAACCCCGGCGAGGGGAGUGAAAAAGAACCUGAAACCGUGUACGUACAAGCAGUGGGAGCCUCUUUAUGGGGUGACUGCGUACCUUUUGUAUAAUGGGUCAGCGACUUAUAUUCUGUAGCAAGGUUAACCGUAUAGGGGAGCCGAAGGGAAACCGAGUCUUAACUGGGCGUUAAGUUGCAGGGUAUAGACCCGAAACCCGGUGAUCUAGCCAUGGGCAGGUUGAAGGUUGGGUAACACUAACUGGAGGACCGAACCGACUAAUGUUGAAAAAUUAGCGGAUGACCUGUGGCUGGGGGUGAAAGGCCAAUCAAACCGGGAGAUAGCUGGUUCUCCCCGAAAGCUAUUUAGGUAGCGCCUCGUGAACUCAUCUUCGGGGGUAGAGCACUGUUUCGGCUAGGGGGCCAUCCCGGCUUACCAACCCGAUGCAAACUACGAAUACCGAAGAAUGUUAUCACGGGAGACACACGGCGGGUGCUAACGUCCGUCGUGAAGAGGGAAACAACCCAGACCGCCAGCUAAGGUCCCAAAGUCAUGGUUAAGUGGGAAACGAUGUGGGAAGGCACAGACAGCCAGGAUGUUGGCUUAGAAGCAGCCAUCAUUUAAAGAAAGCGUAAUAGCUCACUGGUCGAGUCGGCCUGCGCGGAAGAUGUAACGGGGCUAAACCAUGCACCGAAGCUGCGGCAGCGACGCUUAUGCGUUGUUGGGUAGGGGAGCGUUCUGUAAGCCGUUGAAGGUGUGCUGUGAGGCAUGCUGGAGGUAUCAGAAGUGCGAAUGCUGACAUAAGUAACGAUAAAGCGGGUGAAAAGCCCGCUCGCCGGAAGACCAAGGGUUCCUGUCCAACGUUAAUCGGGGCAGGGUGAGUCGACCCCUAAGGCGAGGCCGAAAGGCGUAGUCGAUGGGAAACAGGUUAAUAUUCCUGUACUUGGUGUUACUGCGAAGGGGGGACGGAGAAGGCUAUGUCAGCCGGGCGACGGUUGUCCCGGUUUAAGCAUGUAGGCGGAGGUUCCAGGUAAAUCCGGUACCUUAUUAACGCUGAGGUGUGAUGACGAGGCACUACGGUGCUGAAGUGAUAAAUGCCCUGCUUCCAGGAAAAGCCUCUAAGCAUCAGGUAACACGAAAUCGUACCCCAAACCGACACAGGUGGUCAGGUAGAGAAUACCAAGGCGCUUGAGAGAACUCGGGUGAAGGAACUAGGCAAAAUGGUGCCGUAACUUCGGGAGAAGGCACGCUGAUGUGUAGGUGAAGCCCCUGCGGGUGGAGCUGAAAUCAGUCGAAGAUACCAGCUGGCUGCAACUGUUUAUUAAAAACACAGCACUGUGCAAACACGAAAGUGGACGUAUACGGUGUGACGCCUGCCCGGUGCCGGAAGGUUAAUUGAUGGGGUUAGCGGCAACGCGAAGCUCUUGAUCGAAGCCCCGGUAAACGGCGGCCGUAACUAUAACGGUCCUAAGGUAGCGAAAUUCCUUGUCGGGUAAGUUCCGACCUGCACGAAUGGCGUAAUGAUGGCCAGGCUGUCUCCACCCGAGACUCAGUGAAAUUGAACUCGCUGUGAAGAUGCAGUGUACCCGCGGCAAGACGGAAAGACCCCGUGAACCUUUACUAUAGCUUGACACUGAACACUGGUCCUUGAUGUGUAGGAUAGGUGGGAGGCUUUGAAGCGUGGACGCCAGUCUGCGUGGAGCCAACCUUGAAAUACCACCCUUUAAUGGCUGGUGUUCUAACGUAGACCCGUAAUCCGGGUUGCGGACAGUGUCUGGUGGGUAGUUUGACUGGGGCGGUCUCCUCCCAAAGAGUAACGGAGGAGCACGAAGGUUGGCUAAUCCUGGUCGGACAUCAGGAGGUUAGUGCAAUGGCAUAAGCCAGCUUGACUGCGAGCGUGACGGCGCGAGCAGGUGCGAAAGCAGGUCAUAGUGAUCCGGUGGUUCUGAAUGGAAGGGCCAUCGCUCAACGGAUAAAAGGUACUCCGGGGAUAACAGGCUGAUACCGCCCAAGAGUUCAUAUCGACGGCGGUGUUUGGCACCUCGAUGUCGGCUCAUCACAUCCUGGGGCUGAAGUAGGUCCCAAGGGUAUGGCUGUUCGCCAUUUAAAGUGGUACGCGAGCUGGGUUUAGAACGUCGUGAGACAGUUCGGUCCCUAUCUGCCGUGGGCGCUGGAGAAUUGAGGGGGGCUGCUCCUAGUACGAGAGGACCGGAGUGGACGCAUCACUGGUGUUCGGGUUGUCAUGCCAAUGGCAUUGCCCGGUAGCUAAAUGCGGAAGAGAUAAGUGCUGAAAGCAUCUAAGCACGAAACUUGCCCCGAGAUGAGUUCUCCCUGAGACUUUAAGUCUCCUGAAGGAACGUUGAAGACGACGACGUUGAUAGGUCGGGUGUGUAAGCGCAGCGAUGCGUUGAGCUAACCGAUACUAAUGAACCGUGAGGCUUAACCUU
This 2906-nucleotide ribosomal RNA is filed under the name Enterobacter hormaechei. RNAcentral's name for it is "23S ribosomal RNA". It matches the Rfam family "Bacterial large subunit ribosomal RNA". Lineage: Bacteria; Pseudomonadati; Pseudomonadota; Gammaproteobacteria; Enterobacterales; Enterobacteriaceae. The record is from RNAcentral.